Molecule: transfer RNA, 84 nt
Filed under: Echinostoma caproni
Lineage: Eukaryota; Metazoa; Platyhelminthes; Trematoda; Plagiorchiida; Echinostomatidae
Rfam family: tRNA
About the family: Transfer RNA (tRNA) molecules are approximately 80 nucleotides in length. Their secondary structure includes four short double-helical elements and three loops (D, anti-codon, and T loops).
Source: Rfam by way of RNAcentral
GGCCUCGAAGCUCAGCUGGUAGAGCGUGCGCAUUACAAAAGUGUAGGCGGUGGCGAUGAGUGGGUUCGAAUCCCACCGAGGCUA